GAACGCACAUUGCGCCCGCUAGUAUUCUGGCGGGCAUGCCUGUUCGAGCGUCAUUUCAACCAUCAAGCCCUAGGCUUGUGUUGGGGCCCUGCGGCCGUCCGCAGCCCCCUAAAAACAGUGGCGGGCUCGCUAUAUACCGAGUGCAGUAGUUUACUCUUCGCUCAGGACAUGUAGUGGGUUCUUGCCGUAAAACCCCCCAUUUUUUAAUGAUUGACCUCGGAUUAGGUAGGGAUACCCGCUGAACUUAAG
Molecule: unclassified non-coding RNA, 249 nt
Filed under: Apodus deciduus
Lineage: Eukaryota; Fungi; Ascomycota; Sordariomycetes; Sordariales; Lasiosphaeriaceae
Description: sequence contains 5.8S rRNA gene
Rfam family: 5.8S ribosomal RNA (bases 1-53)
Source: RNAcentral